Gossypium raimondii (Peruvian cotton) is the source of this 1343-nucleotide RNA transcript. RefSeq lists it as uncharacterized. The record is from RefSeq and is a predicted model, not a curated record. Lineage: Eukaryota; Viridiplantae; Streptophyta; Magnoliopsida; Malvales; Malvaceae. The transcript is spliced from 5 exons.
UUACCCCAAAUUUCCCCCUGAAAUCCCUAAUCUUCCCAUGGCCGACAAUAUUUUCUCAUAGAAAAUAUUUGAUUCUCCCUCCAUCUUCCAAUCUUUUUAGUUCCCUUCCCAUUACAAAUCAGUUUUCCAUUCCAAACCCUAACAAACGUUUAACAAAAAAACACCCCUUCUUCAUCGUUUUGAACUCCUCCAUUGUUUUCUCUACUUCCCCUCCUUCUUCUGAUCUCCAAUGGCUAUCCCCGCCGUAAACGUUUAACAAAAAGACACCCUUUUGUUUAUACCCAAUGCCAGUGUAUCCACGCGCGUUCGAUUUUCCCGUGUCUAGACACUCCCGCAGCGAGAAUCCGUUACUCUGCUUUGCUUAAUGUCCCUCGGAAGUUAUCCGCCAUUUCAAGUGAAUAAUUUUCAUUCUUCCUUUAAUUUUUGCCUAACAAUAAGCUCAUCACUCCCUCAAUCUUGUUUGUCGUUUUCAAAUAGACCCCUUUCUCUUCUAAUGUUUCUGCCGGUUAUUUUUGUUGGAGAUGUUGGGGCUGCUGCAGGGAUAAGAUGAGGUCAUCGAGGAAGAAUCAAGCGUCGUCAAGCAGCGGAGGUGAAGGGAAUCAAGACGGGAUUACGGAUGAAGAAGCUCUUUCCAAUAUCACCAAACAAAAAGCCGCUGCUACCAAGCAGUAUAUUGAGAAUCAUUACAAGGAGCAGAUGAAGAAUCUUCAAGACAGAAAAGAGAGGUAUAAAGAUGAACCAAGUAUUAUGAAGUACAUAAAGAUUGCAGCUACCUUGCCUGAUAAAACUGUAUGUGAUGUUGCAUUGAGGUGUUGGUGGAUGCAAGCCCAUGCAUGAAGUUACAUUUUCAACAGAAGACAAACCAAAACUUCUUAGUCAGUUAGUGAAUCCGGAGAGUGGCUAUAAUUAUAGAGCUGUCAAAAGAUGGACUUCACAAAGGAAGCUGGGUUACUGCCUAUUGGACUGUGAUAAAGAACACAUGCCCUAUGCCCUAUUUUCGUUUAAGGACCGCCAAGGAAAUUCUGAAACUGAAAGCUGAUUGAUCGGAUGUGUAUGCCAGCUUUCAUCAACUACUUUCGAAGGCCUUACUAGGAAUUGAAAUGGUGUGCAAAGAGAUUGCUUCUUCUGAUCUGAUUUUUCGAUAUAAAUAUUGGACAAAGUAUGGAUAUUUCUUGUCAGUUGCAUAUACUGCUGUUAGUAAAAUAGGAUUCUCUUCUUAGGAUCUUAGUUUCUUCACUUGUAUUAGACUCAACAAUGGCUAGCAUUGCAUUGGUGUUGAUUUUACCUAAAUUUUGAGGUUUACAAUUUUAAUUUUAUUAAUUAUUUACGUUUUCUCACUUUUA